Molecule: ribosomal RNA, 387 nt
Filed under: uncultured bacterium
Lineage: Bacteria
Description: bacterial SSU rRNA
Rfam family: Bacterial small subunit ribosomal RNA
Source: RNAcentral
GAUGAACGCUAGCGGGAGGCCUAACACAUGCAAGCCGAGCGGUAUUGUUUCUUCGGAAAUGAGAGAGCGGCGUACGGGUGCGGAACACGUGUGCAACCUGCCUUUAUCUGGGGGAUAGCCUUUCGAAAGGAAGAUUAAUACUCCAUAAUAUAUUGAUUGGCAUCAAUUAAUAUUGAAAGCUCCGGCGGAUAGAGAUGGGCACGCGCAAGAUUAGCUAGUUGGUGAGGUAACGGCUCACCAAGGCGAUGAUCUUUAGGGGGCCUGAGAGGUGAUCCCCCACACUGGUACUGAGACACGGACCAGACUCCUACGGGAGGCAGCAGUGGGGAAUUUUGGACAAUGGGGGAAACCCUGAUCCAGCAAUGCCGCGUGAGUGAAGAAGGCCUC